AGUAAAUAGCUUAAGUAUUUAAAAAGAUGGAUUUAAAGAGCAAUUAGACCCAAAGGUUAAUGGCUGGACGGUUUGGGUAUGAAAUAAGCAAGAAAACAAUGUGAACAAGGGGCAAAAUUGGAAAUAGCAUAAAAGUUAAUAGUUAAAUAAUGAUGUAAUUGAAAAAUCUAGACAUUUUCUUCAUAUUUUCUCAGCCAAAACGCCAUAGAAGGUAUGGAGAAAGCUGGUUUUUCAUAUUUUUACAUCG
RNAcentral lists this long non-coding RNA (247 nucleotides) under Gossypium barbadense (sea-island cotton). RNAcentral's name for it is "long non-coding RNA (GBAR_LNC002340)". Lineage: Eukaryota; Viridiplantae; Streptophyta; Magnoliopsida; Malvales; Malvaceae. The record is from RNAcentral.